CAUGUACUCCCUCCAUCCAGAAAUACUUGUCAGAGAAAUAGAUGUAUCUAUAUGUAUUUUAUUUCUAGGUACAUCCAUUUUUAUCUAUUUCUCCGACAAGUAUUUUCCGACGGAGGGAGUAUUUG
Non-coding RNA from Triticum aestivum (bread wheat), 125 nucleotides. NCBI's taxonomy places the organism in Eukaryota, Viridiplantae, Streptophyta, Magnoliopsida, Poales, Poaceae. The record is from Rfam.